Molecule: small nuclear RNA, 19 nt
Filed under: Arabidopsis thaliana (thale cress)
Lineage: Eukaryota; Viridiplantae; Streptophyta; Magnoliopsida; Brassicales; Brassicaceae
Description: snRNA_09361
Source: RNAcentral
CCCGGUCGUACUCAUAACC